Pocillopora verrucosa is the source of this 712-nucleotide long non-coding RNA. RefSeq lists it as uncharacterized. The record is from RefSeq and is a predicted model, not a curated record. Lineage: Eukaryota; Metazoa; Cnidaria; Anthozoa; Scleractinia; Pocilloporidae.
UAGCUUUGACCUGGAGAAGGGGAUAGUUUUAAGAGGAGACAACAUCUGCGUAGCCUCAAGCAAAUCACGCGGCCAGCGGAUCCAAAGAGUCAUUAACGAAUUGAGAAUAUUUACUACUUUCAAGCAGGGUUACAGAGAAGCCAUGAAACUCCAUUCAGUUGUUACUCUUCUCGUUCUGGUUCUUUUUACAACUGUACCUGACGAUACUGAAGCUGUACCAGUCGCCUGGUUUCUUAGAAUCGCAGCCAAACUCGGAGUAAAGCUUGCGAAAAACAGCUACUACGCUCGCUGUAACACACGCCGCACACCGCCCGGGAUAAGCUGUCCCUCUGUUGUCUACGGUGUCGGUCUUUCUAGAGGACAGGCCCAGAACUCAGCCCGGGUUUACGCAGCUACAUUUGGGGAUGACGAGUGUAAGGGUUACGUGGGCCAUUGCAGUAUUAAGAAAUUCAUCAAGUGAAGAACACUCACAUCAGUUGGUGAUCAUUUCCUUUAUUCUUGUGACCUUAAUGUUUGAUUCAAAGGUGAUAUUGUAGGGAGAAAUAGAAUGUUGGUCACUCUUCGGGGUUAACGGGUUAAUAAAGAGAAAAAAGCUAAAUAAAAUUUUAGAAUUUGACGUUUGCAUACACUUAGACAGCCAUUUAUAGAGGGAAAAAGUAGAAUAAAGAUUUAAACUGAUUAUUGAUUUUUCUGAAUAAAGGUACAAAAACUA